This is a long non-coding RNA of Coffea arabica (coffee), 730 nucleotides long. RefSeq lists it as uncharacterized. The record is from RefSeq and is a predicted model, not a curated record. NCBI's taxonomy places the organism in Eukaryota, Viridiplantae, Streptophyta, Magnoliopsida, Gentianales, Rubiaceae.
UGAGGGAGCAGCAUCUAAGGUAAAAGCUUAAUAACGAAGGCAUUGGUGAUCUGGCCCGUUCACAGUUUUGGUACACCCAUCCAGAGAAACUAGGGAAAGAAAUCAAAGAUACGGAGAGAGGCAGAGGAAAUUUCCCAUUGAAUUUCCAGUCAAUUUGGGCCAGUCCCCACCUCCUCUCUCUCUCUCUCUCUCUCUCUCUUUACUAGCUAUUAAUACCCCUGGCUACUACUGUUGCUCUCUCAAUAGUAGUACUGUAGUAGUACCAUCUUCAUAUUCCUUCCGGCUAGUUUUCCUUUUAUCUCUAGCUGUUCACUGUUGUGGGCUUGCCAAUUUCAAUUGAAACUGUAACGCAAGAAAAGCCAGCAAAAAACAAACAAAAAAUCAUGGAUGGAGCACCAGGGUACCAGGGGAUGUCUUACCAGGAGCACCUCCAAAGGCGUCGUGAAGAAAAAGGCGUGCUUUAUACUUGUUUGUUCGCAUUAUGUUGCUGUUUCUGCUGCUACGAGACCUGUGAAUGCUGCUUAGACGUUGUCUGCUGUUGCUGCACCUGAUUAUAUGGGAUACUUCAUCUCAUCUGAUGUUAAUAUACUGAAUAAAACGUUUUGGUACAAUGAAUAACCGUUUUAUAUGGGAUACCCCUCAGAAGAGGGGACGGUGGAGUUUGGCACUUAUCGCUUGUGUAUGGUGACUUGCUCUCUCUAUGGAUUAGUAUUUUACAGCUGUUGUUUAC